UUGUUUGGUGCUGAUACAACAUUGACUUUUCCCAUAAUUUAGCUUAGAGUGUUUUACACUGGGGAGUUCCAAUGUGUUUAAAUUGUAAAACUUUUUCCGAGCAUUUUUGUAGCAGAACUCCAUGUUCUAAUAGCCCCGGCAAAGUUGUUUUUAAUACUUUUUCUCUACGAAUUUUCAUUAAAAUUUAAUUCCAUUUUAACUUUGUCAAUUUUCCCCAAAGAUAAAUUAAGACACACAGAGAGAUUGUCAUUUCCUGUUUGAAGUCUCAUUCCUGUGUACAAUGUCAGUCUUUUUUAUUUAGGCCUAUGCCAUUCCAUCAGGGUAAAUAACUUUCUAACUAGUCAUUUAAGAGCAACUCCCGGGAAACUGUGAUGCAAUCCCACAUAUCAGCCAGACUUCAAAAGCUGCCAGAUUAUUGUGAAAGGAGAAACACUGUUUUCGAAGGCUGCUGAUAAUGCCUAUUAGCCAGAAGAAAGAGCCUGAAUCAUUCAAAGGUUUUCCAUCUAGUAAAGAAGUGUGGUAAAAAUCUUGCCCAGAUCUGCAUGUGCUAAGCAUCUACGUAAGUUGGAGCAUCAUAUUAAUGACACCCAGUGAAGAAACGAAAGAAUGAAGUGUAAUUACUAUAUCAAAAAUCCACAGAAUGUGAAAGUAUAAAGGAAAACUCUCAGCUGCUCAGCUAAAAACUUUGGAGUUAGACAUAUGGACAGCCCACCCCAAGGGAAGAAUCAGAGGAGAAGGGACACAAGACCCCAGAAACACACAAAGCACCUUAAUAUGCAUGCUGCAUCUCUCUAAAAUUGUGGAACCUGUUUACCUGCUCUGGAGAAUGGCUGCCUGUGGCAGACAUAGGAGUUGUCCUCAUGCUGUGCUUCCUAUCUUCCACAGUAAUUGACUUGUAGCUGCAAUACAGUUACCAACCAGGAAUACAAUUUCUCAGCCCCAUGUCUUGCACCUACAGCUAAGUGUGGCCAUGUGACCAGUUUUCACCAAUUAAGUGUGAAUAGCAACAAAGUGCACCACCUUCAAUUGGAGGCUUUGAAGAAGCAGGGCAGCCUUCCCUUGCUCUCUUUCCCCUUGUUCUGGUGGGAUACAGAUGACAAUAAGGCCCUGGGUUUUGAGGUAGCCACAAGAUGCAAAAUACCUCAGACCUGAGUCACCACAAGGAAGAGAGAAGCCCACUGACAUGGAAUACCCAGCCUAGUCUACAGAUGAAUAAGAAAUAAACUUCUAUUAUGUUCGAACAUUACAGAUUUUGUUCUGUUAUAGCAGUUUAUCUCACCCUGACUAAACUGUUGCCUAUCUUCCAAGAUAGGCCCUCCUUCCCUGAAAGUGACUUUUUCAUACAUGUAAUCUGUAUUUUAAUUCAUAUUCUCCAAAGCAUAUCCACAUCUAUUCAACUAUUUUCAUGUCUUCCAUCAAU
This 1420-nucleotide long non-coding RNA is filed under the name Homo sapiens (human). RNAcentral's name for it is "HSALNT0294267". Lineage: Eukaryota; Metazoa; Chordata; Mammalia; Primates; Hominidae. The record is from RNAcentral.